RNAcentral lists this ribosomal RNA (407 nucleotides) under uncultured bacterium. RNAcentral's name for it is "partial 16S ribosomal RNA". It matches the Rfam family "Bacterial small subunit ribosomal RNA", at positions 28 to 526 of the family's 1533-position model. The record is from RNAcentral.
GACGAACGCUGGCGGCGUGCCUAAUACAUGCAAGUAGAACGCAGUUGCGAACGGGUGAGUAACGCGUAGGUAACUGCCUCAUAGCGGGGGAUAACUAUUGGAAACGAUAGCUAAUACCGCAUACUGUGAGAUGGACCUGCGUUGUCUUAGCUAGUUGGUGAGGUAAAGGCUCACCAAGGCGACGAUACAUAGCCGACCUGAGAGGGUGACAGGACAAACUGGGACGGGGACCCGGCCCAGACCUCUGCGGGGGGCAGCAGGAGGGAAUCGUCGGCAAUGGAGGGAAGUCUUACCGAGCAACGCCGCGUGAGUGAAGGAGGUUUUCGGAUCGUAAAGCUCUGUUGUUAGAGAAGCGGUAACUACCCAGAAAGGGACGGCUAACUACGUGCCAGCAGCCGCGGUAAUUC